AUUGAACGCUGGCGGCAGGACUAACACAUGCAAGUCGAACGAGUGGCGGACGGGUGCGUACUGUCUGGGAAACUGCCCGAUGGGGGGGGAUAACUACUGGAAACGGUAGCUAAUACCGCAUACCAUCGGAUGUGCCCAGAUGGGAGUAGCUAGUAGGGGGGGUAACGGCUCACCUAGGCGACGAUCCCUAGCUGGUCUGAGAGGAUGACCAGCCACACUGGAAGUGAGACACGGUGCAGACUCCAACGGGAGGCAGCAGUGGGGAAUAUUGCACAAUGGGCGAAAGCCUGAUGCAGGCAUGCCGCGUGUAUGAAGAAGGCCUUCGGGUUGUAAAGUACGUUCAGCGGGGAGGCGUUACCCGCAGAAGAAGCACCGGCUAACUCCGUGCCAGCAGCCGCGGUAAUAC
RNAcentral lists this ribosomal RNA (406 nucleotides) under uncultured bacterium. RNAcentral describes it as "partial 16S ribosomal RNA". It matches the Rfam family "Bacterial small subunit ribosomal RNA", at positions 29 to 526 of the family's 1533-position model. The record is from RNAcentral.